RNAcentral lists this ribosomal RNA (206 nucleotides) under uncultured bacterium. RNAcentral's name for it is "partial 16S ribosomal RNA". It matches the Rfam family "Bacterial small subunit ribosomal RNA", at positions 568 to 774 of the family's 1533-position model. The record is from RNAcentral.
CGCGUAGGCGGCCUAACAAGUCACUUGUGAAAUCCCCGGGCUUAACUCGGAAUGGCCAAGUGAAACUGUCAGGCUAGAGUGCAGAAGGGGCAAUCGGAAUUCUUGGUGUAGCGGUGAAAUGCGUAGAUAUCAAGAGGAACACCUGAGGUGAAGACGGGUUGCUGGGCUGACACUGACGCUGAGGCGCGAAAGCCAGGGAGCAAACG